UUGCCUACGGGGCGCAGCAGUGGGGAAUAUUGCACAAUGGGGGAAACCCUGAUGCAGUGACGCCGCGUGAGCGAAGAAGUAUUUCGGUAUGUAAAGCUCUAUCAGCAGGGAAGAAAAAUGACGGUACCUGAGUAAGAAGCACCGGCUAAAUACGUGCCAGCAGCCGCGGUAAUACGUAUGGUGCAAGCGUUAUCCGGAUUUAUUGGGUUUAAAGGGUGCGUAGGCGGUCCGUUAAGUCAGCGGUCAAAGCCCGGGGCUCAACCCCGGCCCGCCGUUGAAACUGGCAGUCUCGAGUUGGAGAGAAG
RNAcentral lists this ribosomal RNA (305 nucleotides) under uncultured bacterium. Its description in RNAcentral is "bacterial SSU rRNA". It matches the Rfam family "Bacterial small subunit ribosomal RNA", at positions 335 to 657 of the family's 1533-position model. The record is from RNAcentral.